RNAcentral lists this ribosomal RNA (765 nucleotides) under Triticum aestivum (bread wheat). RNAcentral describes it as "partial small subunit ribosomal RNA". Lineage: Eukaryota; Viridiplantae; Streptophyta; Magnoliopsida; Poales; Poaceae. The record is from RNAcentral.
GCACAGCACCCAGCUUCCUACUGGGUUCAGUCAUCUUCCCCUUCCAACUCCGAAUCACAGUCAGGGAAUACUUCUUCGGAUGGUGGCCUGGUCCAGCUUGAAGCAAAGUCACCAAGAAAUGGUGCAUGGUUCGAUGUUGCUGCCAUCCUGUCCUCCAGAUUUUCUGAAACUGGGGACCAGGAAAUACAAGUUUGGUUUUCUGGAUUUGGGGCUGAGGAGGAAGAAUGGAUUAAUGUUUGUAAAUCUGUGAGACUGCGUUCUCUCCCAUGUAUAGCCACAGAAUGUGUUGGUGUGCUUCCUGGGGAUCUUAUUCUUUGUUAUCAGGAAAGAAAAGAGCAGGCCCUCUAUUUUGAUGCUCAUGUUCUUCAAGUUGACAGGCGCACACGUGAUUUAAGGGGUUGCUGCUGCAGUUUUCUUGUUCGUUAUGAUCACGAUCACUCUGAGGAGAUUGUUUCACUGAGGAAGGUAUGUCGUCGACCAUCUGCUGAUGUUAAGAUUGAUAUUGUAUUUGAUCAUAGCCUAGCUGAGCAGAAAGCUCAAAAGUCGCACAAGAGGAUGGAUGUGAACCCUGAUGAGGUCCCCGUGGUUCCCAGCCCACCAAAUCAAGGAGGGCCAUCCGACAAGCUGGCUGCUCCCUUACUUAUCUCGCCUGAUAGCACCCACAGAGAUUCAGUAGCAGAUGUGCAGAUGGGGGAUAUCGAGGCUGCUCCAAACGGUGAAUCUACAAGCAAAGCACAUGGUGACAAGAUGAAUGUCGGAGCGUAG